This 262-nucleotide ribosomal RNA is filed under the name Bacillus sp. AFS075960. RNAcentral describes it as "partial 16S ribosomal RNA". It matches the Rfam family "Bacterial small subunit ribosomal RNA", at positions 512 to 773 of the family's 1533-position model. The record is from RNAcentral. Lineage: Bacteria; Bacillati; Bacillota; Bacilli; Caryophanales; Bacillaceae.
CAGCCGCGGUAAUACGUAGGGUGCGAGCGUUAAUCGGAAUUACUGGGCGUAAAGCGUGCGCAGGCGGUCUGUUAAGACAGAUGUGAAAUCCCCGGGCUCAACCUGGGAACUGCAUUUGUGACUGGCAGGCUAGAGUAUGGCAGAGGGGGGUAGAAUUCCACGUGUAGCAGUGAAAUGCGUAGAGAUGUGGAGGAAUACCGAUGGCGAAGGCAGCCCCCUGGGCCAAUACUGACGCUCAUGCACGAAAGCGUGGGGAGCAAAC